AGAGUUUGAUCCUGGCUCAGAGCGAACGCUGGCGGCAGGCUUAACACAUGCAAGUCGAGCGCCGUAGCAAUACGGAGCGGCAGACGGGUGAGUAACACGUGGGAACGUACCUUUUGGUUCGGAACAACACAGGGAAACUUGUGCUAAUACCGGAUAAGCCCUUACGGGGAAAGAUUUAUCGCCGAAAGAUCGGCCCGCGUCUGAUUAGCUUGUUGGUGAGGUAACGGCUCACCAAGGCGACGAUCCGUAGCUGGUCUGAGAGGACGAUCAGCCACACUGGGACUGAGACACGGCCCAGACUCCUACGGGAGGCAGCAGUGGGGAAUCUUGCGCAAUGGGCGAAAGCCUGACGCAGCGACGCCGCGUGAGGGAAGAAGGCCUUCGGGUUGUAAACCUCUUUCAGGAGGGACGAAGCUACUCGGGUUAAUACCCCAGAGGGUGACGGUACCUCCAGAAGAAGCCCCGGCUAACUACGUGCCAGCAGCCGCGGUAAUACGUAGGGUGCGAGCGUUGUCCGGAAUUAUUGGGCGUAAAGAGCUCGUAGGCGGUCUGUCGCGUCGAAUGUGAAAACCCGGGGCUCAACUCCGGGCUUGCAUUCGAUACGGCAGGCUAGAGUUCGGUAGGGGAGUCUGGAAUUCCUGGUGUAGCGGUGAAAUGCGCAGAUAUCAGGAGGAACACCGGUGGCGAAGGCGGGACUCUGGGCCGAUACUGACGCUGAGGAGCGAAAGCGUGGGGAGCGAACAGGAUUAGAUACCCUGGUAGUCCACGCCGUAAACGUUGGGCGCUAGGUGUGGGGGUCCUUCCACGACCUCCGUGCCGCAGCUAACGCAUUAAGCGCCCCGCCUGGGGAGUACGGCCGCAAGGCUAAAACUCAAAGGAAUUGA
RNAcentral lists this ribosomal RNA (884 nucleotides) under uncultured bacterium. Its description in RNAcentral is "bacterial SSU rRNA". It matches the Rfam family "Bacterial small subunit ribosomal RNA", at positions 8 to 913 of the family's 1533-position model. The record is from RNAcentral.